RNAcentral lists this unclassified non-coding RNA (201 nucleotides) under Hevea brasiliensis (rubber tree). The record is from RNAcentral. Lineage: Eukaryota; Viridiplantae; Streptophyta; Magnoliopsida; Malpighiales; Euphorbiaceae.
UUUAAGUCGGUUUUGUCCCCGUUGUUGCCGCCCUUGUCCACCAUUCCUAGCAGAGGGGCCCAUGUUUCCCCUUUGAUUUCUCGCAUAAGGAGUUUGAUUCCAGCCUCUCAUAUUAGACGGCCCCCCUCUUUCAUAACCCUGAAAUUUUCCUGCAGAAUCUUUAGAGCCAAGAUGACAAAGAUCAGGAACAAUGUUCACCGG